Molecule: non-coding RNA, 969 nt
Organism: Pantherophis guttatus
Lineage: Eukaryota; Metazoa; Chordata; Lepidosauria; Squamata; Colubridae
Source: RefSeq, a predicted model, not a curated record
GAACAGGCCAAUGUUCACUCUGUUUCUUCAAUCAAUUCUUCGGGACAAAUUGAUCUGCCUCCACUGAAUAGCUUCGGAGUACAUUCCCUAACUAUUAAGCCAAUAGUGAAAUAAGUAUUUACGAAGAGAUUCUAAGUGAAGAAACUUAUAUAACAAAAGCAGCAAAUGCUACAUCUUUCGAGCAGAAGAAGAAAGAAAUCUUUCUGAAUGGAAAUCUACAGCUUGUUUUGUGAUUUCCCCAGCUCAGUUACCAGAAUGAACAGAUUUAUUCACACAAUCAAUAGUUCAAGAAUGUUUCUCCGCUUGUUGGAAGAGCUAUCCUAUGACUGCAAUGGAAGGAGAGGAAAGGACCUGUGGCAGAAGAUUGUCAUAUCCUUUUAAUCUUCAAGAGCCUGCAUGCUAAGAACAGAGUGUGAAGAAUCAUCUAAGAAGGCCCUGAGAUGCUUCCUCUUUCUGGCUAGGACCCCACUGGAAUCAAAAGGGGAGAGGGAAAUCUCCUUUCAAAGGAAUGCAAUGUUCUGAUAUUUUGCGCUUAUGAACAUUUAUAAAAUACAGGUAAUGUGGAAUUCAGAAGCUGAAUAGAGGUUUGAAAAAUACUAUGCAUGGAUUGAAGAAUCAAAGGAAGGAGUGUUUAAAAUUGGGAAAAAAAUGUUCUGAUUAACUAAGAACUUGGAAAGUGAAGAAUUGGAUAGUGGACAGAAAUGAAACUAAUGUCCAUGCCUUUGAAACCUUGGUACGUACAGAAGCCAUGCUGCAGAGCAGAAAACAAAACAGCAUAAUUUGAUAUGAAUAAAGAAGCUUUGUUGCUGGAAUGCAGGAAGAAGAUCGCUAGAAUAUUUAAUAUUUUAAUAGCAUCUUUGAAAUGCACAGUAAUUGCUUUCAUGAUUAAUUUGAAAAAUGGAUUUAAAAUGUGUUUAUUCUGCCUAGAAACAUCAUUACAACUGAUUUGGGUGAGGGGAGAAACAAGAC